This 433-nucleotide ribosomal RNA is filed under the name uncultured bacterium. RNAcentral's name for it is "partial 16S ribosomal RNA". It matches the Rfam family "Bacterial small subunit ribosomal RNA", at positions 29 to 507 of the family's 1533-position model. The record is from RNAcentral.
AGCGAACGCUGGCGGCAGGCUUAACACAUGCAAGUCGAGCGGGCAUUUCGGUGUCAGCGGCAGACGGGUGAGUAACACGUGGGAACGUACCCUUUGGUUCGGAAUAACGCUGGGAAACUAGCGCUAAUACCGGAUACGCCCUUUUGGGGAAAGGCUUGCUGCCGAAGGAUCGGCCCGCGUCUGAUUAGCUAGUUGGUGGGGUAAUGGCCUACCAAGGCGACGAUCAGUAGCUGGUCUGAGAGGAUGAUCAGCCACACUGGGACUGAGACACGGCCCAGACUCCUACGGGAGGCAGCAGUGGGGAAUAUUGGACAAUGGGCGCAAGCCUGAUCCAGCCAUGCCGCGUGAGUGAUGAAGGCCUUAGGGUUGUAAAGCUCUUUUGUCCGGGACGAUAAUGACGGUACCGGAAGAAUAAGCCCCGGCUAACUUCGUG